RNAcentral lists this small RNA (18 nucleotides) under Arabidopsis thaliana (thale cress). RNAcentral's name for it is "ATSL299390". The record is from RNAcentral. Lineage: Eukaryota; Viridiplantae; Streptophyta; Magnoliopsida; Brassicales; Brassicaceae.
UUUUUUUUAUGUUUUUUU